GAGGAAUAUUGGUCAAUGGGCGAGAGCCUGAACCAGCCAAGUCGCGUGAAGGAUGAAGGAUCUAUGGUUUGUAAACUUCUUUUAUAUGGGAAUAAAGUGAGGAACGUGUUCCUUUUUGUAUGUACCAUAUGAAUAAGCAUCGGCUAACUCCGUGCCAGCAGCCGCGGUAAUACGGAGGAUGCGAGCGUUAUCCGGAUUUAUUGGGUUUAAAGGGUGCGUAGGUGGUUAAUUAAGUCAGCGGUGAAAGUUUGUGGCUCAACCAUAAAAUUGCCGUUGAAACUGGUUGACUGGAUUAUAUUUGAGGUAGGCGGAAUGCGUGGUGUAGCGGUGAAAUGCAUAGAUAUCACGCAGAACUCCGAUUGCGAAGGCAGCUUACUAAACUAUAACUGACACUGAAGCACGAAAGCGUGGGGAUCAAAC
RNAcentral lists this ribosomal RNA (420 nucleotides) under uncultured bacterium. RNAcentral describes it as "bacterial SSU rRNA". It matches the Rfam family "Bacterial small subunit ribosomal RNA", at positions 356 to 773 of the family's 1533-position model. The record is from RNAcentral.